This is a long non-coding RNA of Myotis myotis, 1639 nucleotides long. RefSeq lists it as uncharacterized. The transcript has 7 exons. NCBI's taxonomy places the organism in Eukaryota, Metazoa, Chordata, Mammalia, Chiroptera, Vespertilionidae. The record is from RefSeq and is a predicted model, not a curated record.
GAGAUUCUAAAUUUUGUGCACUGUCUGGCAAUGGAUAUAUACGUAUUUUUUGAAAAGCAUAAGGCAGUGUAAAUUGAAGUGUAGAAUAGUUGCUCAAUUAGUGUUUCUUAAGUCAGAAUUAUGAGCAAUUAGAUAUUGGCAAAAAUAGGUGCUCACCAAACUCCAUUUCUUUCUCUUCUAGGGCACACAGCUGGGGGUACACUGGUGAGAAGUAACCUUUGCCAUCCCCAGACCUGGAGUGCUGCUUGUGAACAGCAUGGAGCUGGAAUUACUUAUUAUCUGAUCUGUGAAUCUGUCUUUAAACUGGACACUUUAAUGGUUGGUUUUCAGCACAUGGAAACAUGGCUUUAAACAGCAGUGCCCAAAUUCAAGACACAUUGAUUGCAAACAAUUCUCAGAGUCAGGCUGCUGCCCCUUGAGACUGUGUGGGACACAGGGAAAGUCCAGAGCAGAAGGAAAAGCUCUUUGCCCACAGCGGUGGAGGUAGUGAGAAAUGGCCAGGUCCUCGAUAUCUUUAAAGAAGCAGUUGCUGGGAAGUAUUGGGUGUCAAAGCCUUAUUGGAGAGGGUUCAAGAGAAAAUGGACAGAGGAACCGUUGGGCCACACCACGAGGAAGCAAUGAGCCAAAUCUAGGACGUGGAACAUUCUACAGGGCAACUGGCCUGGUUUCUUCAAAAGAGAAGGAAGUUCCCACUGACAGAUGGAAACACAAAAGGAAGUUGUGCCAUUCCUCUCUAGACAGCACGCUCCCCUCACUGGACUUCUUUUGGCAUGAGAUCCUCACAACAGACUGGUGACAUAGCUGGCAUUAUCACACCCAUUUUCCAAUGGUGAAGAUGAAGUUCAAAGAUGUAAGUAACUAUCCAGUAUGUUCUGCUCACCAGAGUGUGUGUGUGUGUGUGUGUGUGUGUGUGUGUGUGUGUAUGAAAGUAUGAGAGGGGGAGAGAGAAAGAGAAACUGUCUGCUGCUUGAAGGCUACAUCAUGCUUAAACAGUCUGAACUGGUAUGAAAGUGUAGGGAGUGGGGAUCCUUCCCCAGCAUGGAUCUGCUAAACCAAUUGUUCAUCCAAUCAGAUCCCAGCAACAAACCAGUCCACUCAGCCUUCAAUCCAAUCCAAAUUCACCACCAGUCAUCCCUCAGAGUCCAGAACUAGCCAGUCCAUUCAGUGCUUCCUGCUCAGUCAGUAUCUCAUAACAUCCAUUCUCUAAUUCAAUCAGUGAUCAGCCACAGCCAAGCCCUUCAGCCUCUUAUCUGAUCAGAAUCUAAAAGCAAGCAGUGGACAUAAGUAUCUGUUUUCUCCAAUGUAGUGGCUACUAGAUGAGUCCAGACACAGAAUUUGAACCUUCUGCAUGGAAGGAGAAACAGGCCCAGAGGUGGGAAGGGGUUGUCUAAGGUCACAUAGGAGUCAGGUGCAGAUACGGGACAAGAAUCCAGUUCUGACUCUUGAUGGCAGUUUGUACAGCAGUCUGAACAGUUCUUCAUGGGAUGGUAAUGCUGGAGUGACCCUGGGCCUCAAUCACCAAGUAAGAAAGUUAAAGCUUGGCAUGGGAUCCACCCCUUAUACUCCCAGGAUCAGAGUUGUUUAUACGUGAGCCAGAGACUCUGGGAGCUGCUCUGUCUGUGCAACAUCCCAGGAAGCU